RNAcentral lists this unclassified non-coding RNA (330 nucleotides) under soil metagenome. RNAcentral describes it as "partial contains 5.8S ribosomal RNA, internal transcribed spacer 2, and large subunit ribosomal RNA". The stretch from base 1 to 120 matches the Rfam family "5.8S ribosomal RNA", at positions 35 to 154 of the family's 154-position model. The record is from RNAcentral.
GAUGAAGAACGCAGCGAAAUGCGAUAAGUAGUGUGAAUUGCAGAAUUCAGUGAAUCAUCGAAUCUUUGAACGCACAUUGCGCCCCUUGGUAUUCCAUGGGGCAUGCCUGUUCGAGCGUCAUUUGUACCCUCAAGCUUUGUUUGGUGUUGGGCGUCUUGUCGUAUUACGACUCGCCUUAAAUACAUUGGCAGCCGGCACUUUGGCCUAGGAGCGCAGCACAUUUUGCGAUCGUAGCCCGUUGUACUGGCGUCCAUCAAGAACAUUUACCACGUUUGACCUCGGAUCAGGUAGGGAUACCCGCUGAACUUAAGCAUAUCAAUAAGCGGAGGA